ACUCCUACGGGAGGCAGCAGUGGGGAAUAUUGCACAAUGGGGGAAACCCUGAUGCAGCCAUGCCGCGUGUGUGAAGAAGGCCUUCGGUUGUAAAGCACUUUCAGUAGGGAGGAAGGUAGUGUAGUUAAUACCUGCAUUAUUUUGACGUUACCUACAGAAGAAGCACCGGCUAACUCCGUGCCAGCAGCCGCGGUAAUACGGAGGGUGCGAGCGUUAAUCGGAAUUACUGGGCGUAAAGCGCAUGCAGGCGGCCUGUUAAGUCAGAUGUGAAAGCCCGGGGCUUAACCUCGGAAUUGCAUUUGAAACUGGCAGGCUAGAGUCUUGUAGAGGGGGUAGAAUUUCAGGUGUAGCGGUGAAAUGCGUAGAGAUCUGAAGGAAUACCAGUGGCGAAGGCGGCCCCUGGACAAAGACUGACGCUCAGAUGCGAAAGCGUGGGGAGCAAACAGGAUUAGAUACCCU
Molecule: ribosomal RNA, 459 nt
Filed under: uncultured bacterium
Lineage: Bacteria
Description: bacterial SSU rRNA
Rfam family: Bacterial small subunit ribosomal RNA
Source: RNAcentral